AGCAGAGUUUGAUCAUGGCUCAGGACGAACGCUGGCGGCGUGCUUAACACAUGCAAGUCGAGCGGUAAGGCUCCUUCGGGAGUACACGAGCGGCGAACGGGUGAGUAACACGUGAGCAAUCUGCCCUUCACAUCGGGAUAACUCCGGGAAACCGGUGCUAAUACCGAAUACGACCACUUCAGGCAUCUGAUGGUGGUGGAAAGUUCAGGCGGUGAAGGAUGAGCUCGCGGCCUAUCAGCUUGUUGGUGGGGUAACGGCCCACCAAGGCAACGACGGGUAGCCGGCCUGAGAGGGUGACCGGCCACACUGGGACUGAGACACGGCCCAGACUCCUACGGGAGGCAGCAGUGGGGAAUAUUGGACAAUGGGCGAAAGCCUGAUCCAGCAACGCCGCGUGAGGGAUGACGGCCUUCGGGUUGUAAACUCCUUUUGGGGGGGAUGAUAAUGACAGUACCCCCCGAAUAAGGCUCGGCUAACUCCGUGCCAGCAGCCGCGGUAAUCAAUCGCC
RNAcentral lists this ribosomal RNA (508 nucleotides) under uncultured bacterium. RNAcentral describes it as "bacterial SSU rRNA". It matches the Rfam family "Bacterial small subunit ribosomal RNA", at positions 1 to 529 of the family's 1533-position model. The record is from RNAcentral.